RNAcentral lists this ribosomal RNA (257 nucleotides) under uncultured bacterium. Its description in RNAcentral is "partial 16S ribosomal RNA". It matches the Rfam family "Bacterial small subunit ribosomal RNA", at positions 524 to 776 of the family's 1533-position model. The record is from RNAcentral.
UACGUAGGGUGCAAGCGUUUGUCCGGAAUUAUUGGGCGUAAAGAGCUCGUAGGCGGUUUUGUCGCGUCUGCUGUGAAAACGCGAGGCUCAACCUCGCGCCUGCAGUGGGUACGGGCAGACUAGAGUGCGGUAGGGGAGAUUGGAAUUCCUGGUGUAGCGGUGGAAUGCGCAGAUAUCAGGAGGAACACCGAUGGCGAAGGCAGAUCUCUGGGCCGUAACUGACGCUGAGGAGCGAAAAGCGUGGGGGAGCGAACAGG